This 1261-nucleotide ribosomal RNA is filed under the name Sciurothamnion sp. strain Hungtou. RNAcentral describes it as "eukaryotic LSU rRNA". It matches the Rfam family "Eukaryotic large subunit ribosomal RNA", at positions 958 to 2179 of the family's 3401-position model. The record is from RNAcentral. Lineage: Eukaryota; Rhodophyta; Florideophyceae; Ceramiales; Callithamniaceae.
CCUCCGAAGUUUCUCUCAGGAUAGCAAUCCGACGGGAUGUUGUCAUGUGCGGUAAAGCGAAUGAUUAGUGCAUUUGGGGGUCUAUGUAUCUUCGGGCAAUUCUCAAACUUUAAAUGCGCAUGAUGAUGUUGCUGUUUAAAAUUUUAAGCAGUUUCGUUAGAAACGUCGGAUUUGUGGGCCACUUUUGGUAAGCAGAACUGGCGAUACGGGAUGAACCGUAAGUAUGGUUAAGGCGCCGAAUUGGACGCUUAAAGAUCCCAAAAAAGGUGUUGAUUCAUCGAGACAGCAGGACGGUGGCCAUGGAAGUCGGAAUCCGCUAAGGAGUGUGUAACAACUCACCUGCCGAAUGAAUUAGCCCUGAAAAUGGAUGGCGCUUAAGCGGCCAGCCGACACCAUACCAUCUCAAUAAAAAAAAGUGGUCUUUAACUGAGAUGAGUAGGAGGGCGCGCCGGUUGUGUCGAAGCGUAGGGGCGACCCUGCGUGGAACGGCCGGUGAUGCAGAUCUUGGUAGUAGUAGCAAAUAUUCAAGUGUGAACCUUGAAGGGCGAAGUGGGGAAGGGUUCCACGCGAACAUUGGUUGAGCGUGGGUGAGUCGAUCCUAAGCCGCGUGGUUAUAUGCUUGCACCGGCGAAAGGGAAGCAGGUUGACAUUCCUGCACACGGAUGUGGAGGCGGCGACGCCCCUAUUGGCAAGGUGACGUUGGCAUUGACCCUGGGCAGAGUUAUCUUUUCUGUUUAACCGUUCGGUGCGCUCUGUGGAAUCCGUUUGUCGGGAGAAACAGGCGUGCUCGGGCAAAGCGCCGGGGUAUUACCGGCGUCCAGGUCGUUAGUGUCAGCCCUUGAAAAACCUUGUGCUGGGCAAGACCAUAGUCUUGUUAGGGAUUCCACGCCGUAUCGUACCCAUAACCGCAUCAGGUCCCCAAGGUGAACAGCCUCUGCUCAAUAUGAUCAAUGCAGGUAAGGGAAGUCGGCAAAUUAGACCCGUAACCUUGGGAAAAGGGUUGGCUCUAGUGCCGCGUGGGAGUGGUCAUUCUGUGGACGGUGUUGCAUGCUUGACAAGAAAAAAGGGGGUGGUUGAUGACUCGGCCUUUGGGGGGACCCGCUUUGCCCGGUACUUUCCAACUGCUUUUUUGUUUCUUGUUUUAUAGCGUUGCACCUUUCCCUGGAUGGCGCCCACAGCAUGCGGCAAACUAGAACUGCAACGGGCAAAGGGAAUCCGACUGUUUAAUUAAAACAAAGCAUUGCGAAGGCCUUGGGACGGU